CUGAGGUUGCUUCUGACGGGCUUGUGAACAAUUCGGUAAAAACCCCUAGUGAAAACUAUGUAUGUAUAGUAUAACCGCCGCUUCAAAUCAAUUGAAUCAAUGCAAGCAAUGCUGUUCCCACAUGCCUAUUCAUUCAUAUUUGGUUGGAUUCCUCGGUUCAUCUUAUGCCAACGAUGGAAUAGCCUCUUUUUCUAGCUAUUACUUUCCUUCAUAUUCCCACAUGCCUAUUCAUUCAUAUUUGGCUGGAUUCCUCGGUUCAUCUUAUGCCAACGAUGGAAUAGCCUCCUUUUCUAGCUAUUACUUUCCUUCAUUCAGGUAUGGGGGCAGGGAAUACGAAGGUCGAGUAGGCUUCGUCGGUUUGAGAAGGUGAACGACGAAUCCGAGUGAUCGAAGGUUCAAGUACUGAGCGAAUAUUCAAACGUCUAUUCAUGU
This 432-nucleotide long non-coding RNA is filed under the name Nicotiana benthamiana. RNAcentral's name for it is "long non-coding RNA (NBEN_LNC013694)". Lineage: Eukaryota; Viridiplantae; Streptophyta; Magnoliopsida; Solanales; Solanaceae. The record is from RNAcentral.